ACUCCUACGGGAGGCAGCAGUAGGGAAUCUUCCACAAUGGGCGCAAGCCUGAUGGAGCAACACCGCGUGAGUGAAGAAGGGUUUCGGCUCGUAAAGCUCUGUUGUUAAAGAAGAACACGUAUGAGAGUAACUGUUCAUACGUUGACGGUAUUUAACCAGAAAGUCACGGCUAACUACGUGCCAGCAGCCGCGGUAAUACGUAGGUGGCAAGCGUUAUCCGGAUUUAUUGGGCGUAAAGAGAGUGCAGGCGGUUUUCUAAGUCUGAUGUGAAAGCCUUCGGCUUAACCGGAGAAGUGCAUCGGAAACUGGAUAACUUGAGUGCGGAAGAGGGUAGUGGAACUCCAUGUGUAGCGGUGGAAUGCGUAGAUAUAUGGAAGAACACCAGUGGCGAAGGCGGCUACCUGGUCUGCAACUGACGCUGAGACUCGAAAGCAUGGGUAGCGAACAGGAUUAGAUACCCUGGUAGGAUAGCG
This 473-nucleotide ribosomal RNA is filed under the name uncultured bacterium. Its description in RNAcentral is "bacterial SSU rRNA". It matches the Rfam family "Bacterial small subunit ribosomal RNA", at positions 335 to 801 of the family's 1533-position model. The record is from RNAcentral.